GUGGGGAAUCUUCCGCAAUGGACGAAAGUCUGACGGAGCGACGCCGCGUGAGUGAAGAAGGCCUUCGGGUCGUAAAGCUCUGUCAUCAGGGACGAACGGCCGGUGGAGUGGAAAGCCACCGGAUUGACGGUACCUGAGAAGGAAGCCACGGCUAACUACGUGCCAGCAGCCGCGGUAAUACGUAGGUGGCAAGCGUUGUCCGGAAUUAUUUGGCGUAAAGCGCGCGCAGGUGGGAUCUUAAGUCCAUUUUGAAAGUUCGGAGCUCAACUCCGUGAUGGGAUGGAAACUGUGAUUCUUGAGUACCGGAGAGGAAAGCGGAAUUCCCCGUGUAGCGGUGAAAUGCGUAGAUAUGGGGAGGAACACCAGUGGCGAAGGCGGCUUUCUGGACGGUGUCUGACACUGAGGCGCGAAAGCUAGGGGAGCGAACGGGAUUAGAAACCCUUGUAGUCC
RNAcentral lists this ribosomal RNA (450 nucleotides) under uncultured bacterium. Its description in RNAcentral is "partial 16S ribosomal RNA". It matches the Rfam family "Bacterial small subunit ribosomal RNA", at positions 354 to 796 of the family's 1533-position model. The record is from RNAcentral.